Molecule: ribosomal RNA, 490 nt
Filed under: uncultured bacterium
Lineage: Bacteria
Description: partial 16S ribosomal RNA
Rfam family: Bacterial small subunit ribosomal RNA
Source: RNAcentral
AUUGAACGCUGGCGGCAUGCUUUACACAUGCAAGUCGGACGGCAGCACAGAGAAGCUUGCUUCUUGGGUGGCGAGUGGCGAACGGGUGAGUAAUAUAUCGGAACGUACCGAGUAAUGGGGGAUAACUAAUCGAAAGAUUAGCUAAUACCGCAUAUUCUCUGAGGAGGAAAGCAGGGGACCUUCGGGCCUUGCGUUAUUCGAGCGGCCGAUAUCUGAUUAGCUAGUUGGUGGGGUAAAGGCCUACCAAGGCGACGAUCAGUAGCGGGUCUGAGAGGAUGAUCCGCCACACUGGGACUGAGACACGGCCCAGACUCCUACGGGAGGCAGCAGUGGGGAAUUUUGGACAAUGGGCGCAAGCCUGAUCCAGCCAUGCCGCGUGUCUGAAGAAGGCCUUCGGGUUGUAAAGGACUUUUGUCAAGGAAGAAAAGGCUGUUGCUAAUACCGACAGCUGAUGACGGUACCUGAAGAAUAAGCACCGGCUAACUACGUG